Girardinichthys multiradiatus is the source of this 1187-nucleotide long non-coding RNA. RefSeq lists it as uncharacterized. The record is from RefSeq and is a predicted model, not a curated record. The transcript is spliced from 2 exons. NCBI's taxonomy places the organism in Eukaryota, Metazoa, Chordata, Actinopteri, Cyprinodontiformes, Goodeidae.
UCAGGGGGAGAUCACAAACACCUGAGUGACCUACAGCCCAGAAGCAUCUCCAGGACCAACACAACCAUUAAAAGAUGCUUUAGAUUCCUCACAUCUGGAUACCUUUGGAGCAGAAACUAUCAGUUUAUAAUAAAAUGGAAAAAAGAAACCCAGAGAUGUUAAAAAGGACUUCAGAUCGUUUUCCUUGGGGAUCUACCUGCUGGUUCUAAUGAAGCAAACUCUGAUGGACCUCAGAUGAAGAGACUCCGCAGAGAGACUCAGAUGUUGCUGUGAAAGAUCAUCUUCUGGUUGGUGAGGAGGACAACUGAGUCAGAGGCUGACGAUGCUCAGAGAAACUGAUGAGUUUCUGCAGAAGAAGAGAAUCUGAUGCGUUAAUGUGCUGCUCCGGCUGCAGGUCAGAUUCAGUGGGAGGCCUCGGUCCUCUCUAGAUCAGGACUGGUGCUUAAUUGAGAAACUGGACCUCUGAUCUGUGUUCAUGGAGGUGGAUUUAUUUGAGGUGUAGGUGGAUGUUGUUCAGCUUCCUGAGUUUAGAUCUUCAACCAUCUGUGGAGUUUUCCUGAACCAGGCUGUCCUUUCCUGUUUGUUUCUGUGUUAGUGUUGGAACCUUUUCAUUUGGUUCACUUUGAUCUAGAUAUGACCCAGAGGAUGCAGAAGUUCUUAAGAACCAGGUGAAGCAGUCUAAACUGGCAACCGGGGGAGACCAAGAUUGGGUUAAAAAGUAAAAAUAAUAAAAUCAACUAAAAGCCUGCAGACUGACACCACUGCUCCUCCUGAUGCUCUUCUUCUGGUGCUUUCUCCAUCUCCCUCCCCCACUUCUUCAGAACUUUCACUAAAAUCUCAUUAUUGUCUGGUGGAAACAGGGAGAUGUUUUAUUAUUUUACACAACGGCUUUCUGAGAGAUGCAUGUAAAGGUGGAGGACCCCCCCAACACAUACUUUAAUCUGUGUUUUGCAAUAAUAAAUGCUAAUUCUUGAUUGUCAUAUGAGCACAGAAGGGCAGCUCUGGGGUCCUGAGGAUGUAAGUAAGGGAGACCAGUUUAGCAGACCAGAGGCGACUGAAGCACCAGAGCAUCAUCUGACCUCACUCUUAGUUUGAGUUGGAACAUAAAGUUAGAAAUAAAACAUUUAAGAGUAAAAAACCUCAAACUUUAAGUGUGGAAAUGCAAUAAAUCUCCAUUAUACAACCAA